GGAGCUCUCCCAUAUGGUCGACCUGCAGGCGGCCGCGAAUUCACUAGUGAUUAGAGUUUGAUCAUGGCUCAGGACGAACGCUGGCGGCGCGCUUAAUACAUGCAAGUCGAGCGAGAACCUGGGCUUCGGCCCAGGGGACAGCGGCGAACGGGUGAGUAACACGUGGGUAAUCAACCCCCGACACCGGGAUAGCCCAGGGAAACUUGGAUUAAUACCGGAUGCCCCAUCUGGCUCUCGAGCCGGCUGGAAAAGGGUAGCUUCGGCCUCCGGUCGGGGACGAGCCCGCGGCGGAUUAGCUUGUUGGUGAGGUAAAGGCUCACCAAGGCGACGAUCCGUAGCUGGUCUGAGAGGACGAUCAGCCACACUGGGACUGAGACACGGCCCAGACUCCUACGGGAGGCAGCAGUAGGGAAUCUUGCGCAAUGGGCGAAAGCCUGACGCAGCGACGC
This 449-nucleotide ribosomal RNA is filed under the name uncultured Actinomycetes bacterium. RNAcentral's name for it is "bacterial SSU rRNA". The stretch from base 46 to 449 matches the Rfam family "Bacterial small subunit ribosomal RNA", at positions 1 to 397 of the family's 1533-position model. Lineage: Bacteria; Bacillati; Actinomycetota; Actinomycetes. The record is from RNAcentral.